AAUAAAUCCCUCCGAGCAAAAGCGCCUAAAGCGAAUCCGCCAUGGCACUGCGCCUGCAAUAUUGCUUGCAAGAUUGCACAGGGUGGCAGGGGAAACCCGGCCGCCUUCCGCAUUGAAAAGGAGCAAGGGG
RNAcentral lists this non-coding RNA (130 nucleotides) under uncultured Selenomonas sp. RNAcentral describes it as "Moco (molybdenum cofactor) riboswitch". The stretch from base 10 to 123 matches the Rfam family "Molybdenum/Tungsten riboswitch aptamer (Moco RNA motif)", at positions 13 to 119 of the family's 135-position model. The record is from RNAcentral. Lineage: Bacteria; Bacillati; Bacillota; Negativicutes; Selenomonadales; Selenomonadaceae.